Molecule: ribosomal RNA, 490 nt
Filed under: uncultured bacterium
Lineage: Bacteria
Description: partial 16S ribosomal RNA
Rfam family: Bacterial small subunit ribosomal RNA
Source: RNAcentral
AGUGAACGCUGGCGGCAGGCCUAACACAUGCAAGUCGAACGGCAGCACAAGAGAGCUUGCUCUCUGGGUGGCGAGUGGCGGACGGGUGAGGAAUGCAUCGGAAUCUGCCCAUUUGUGGGGGAUAACCUCGGGAAACCGGGACUAAUACCGCAUACGACCUACGGGUGAAAGCAGGGGAUCUUCGGACCUUGCGCAGAUGGAUGAGCCGAUGCCGGAUUAGCUAGUUGGAGGGGUAAAGGCCCACCAAGGCGACGAUCCGUAGCUGGUCUGAGAGGAUGAUCAGCGACACGGGGACGGAGACACGGCCCAGACUCCUACGGGAGGCAGCAGUGGGGAAUAUUGGACAAUGGGCGCAAGCCUGAUCCAGCCAUGCCGCGUGUGUGAAGAAGGCCUUCGGGUUGUAAAGCACUUUUGUUGGGAAAGAAAAGCAGCCGGUUAAUACCCGGUUGUCAUGACGGUACCCAAAGAAUAAGCACCGGCUAACUUCGUG